Molecule: non-coding RNA, 28 nt
Filed under: Bombyx mori (domestic silkworm)
Lineage: Eukaryota; Metazoa; Arthropoda; Insecta; Lepidoptera; Bombycidae
Source: RNAcentral
UUGCAGUUACGCGCGGAGUGGCCAUAGA